CAGACCUCUAAUCGGAAAAGACUACCCGCUGAGUUUA
This 37-nucleotide ribosomal RNA is filed under the name Tomentypnum falcifolium. Its description in RNAcentral is "partial 25S ribosomal RNA". The record is from RNAcentral. RNAcentral also lists the same sequence under 13 other names. Lineage: Eukaryota; Viridiplantae; Streptophyta; Bryopsida; Hypnales; Brachytheciaceae.